RNAcentral lists this long non-coding RNA (1830 nucleotides) under Helianthus annuus (common sunflower). RNAcentral describes it as "hypothetical non coding rna". Lineage: Eukaryota; Viridiplantae; Streptophyta; Magnoliopsida; Asterales; Asteraceae. The record is from RNAcentral.
UUUCUUUCUUCUUCUCUCUAUACGUUGGUGUUCUAACCAAUAAUCACCGAUGCGAUGUUCUGUCCGAUCGAUUCAUGAACCAACUAACGGAUGCCAAAGUAUUGUAUUUUGUGAGUUCGUUAAAACGGAUGCCAAAAUGCUGUCUAAACAAGACUAUACUUUGUGAAUUUCGUUAAGGUUCGAAUCUCGUGACUACCGUUAAGGUUUGAUUUGGGUUAUACACAAAUACGUAUUCCAUUCUGUUAAACUAUAUGUUUAACUAUCAGAAUACUCCCAAAUUUAUAAUCAAACAAGCUGUUAAAUCAUCAGAAGAUCCAAAAUAAUAAAGUAUACGCUUAAUUAUCAGAAGGAGUAGAAUCAAGAAGCUUGUUAAAUCAAUACUGCAUGCUUAUAAAGUAAUUACAGUAGAUUGGAGUAUGCACUUCCAUUGUGCUGCAACAUAACCAAAAUAUAUUCUUUAACAGCUUGUUGUAGUAAACUGAUCAUCAUUUUCUCGUUUUUUAUUUCUUUUUCUCAUCCACACUAAGAUCUUUAAUAGCAAUCUCCUCUUCGUCAUCAUUCAUUGGUCUAACAUAUUUCGCCUCAACACAUUCCCAAGCAUCCAAGUAAUUUGCUUGCACCCAGUUUUCGAAACGUUCUUCCCAUACUUUAUACUCCUCGAUGUUCAUGAGCUUAGGUGGUUUUUGCAUAGUGCUUGUUUCAUUUUCCAACAUUGCUUGCUGAGUAAUGGUAAUCGGAGUAGCAAAGGCGUUAUAAAAUUCCUCUUCCAUGAUUCAAUUUUCAAAAUUUCACAAACUGUCAGUUCAAACGAAAUUAUCUUUCAAGCGAAAUAUCCCUUUGUGCGAAAUUCCCUUUCAAACGAAAUAGCUUUCUCAAACGAAAUUAUCAAACUGGUGCGAAAUCACUGAUUUCGUAUGAAAUAUCACAAUUUCAAACGAAAUAUCUAAUUCCGUGCGAAAUACUCAAACGAAAUUACAACUUGAAGUGAAAUUACUAAUUUCGUGUUGAACUUCCAAACGAAAUUACACUCUGAAGCGAAAUACGGUAAUUUCGUGCGAAAUUAAACCCUAAUUUCGUGCAAAAUAAUGCUGAUGUCAUCGUCUCGAGCUGAAUUUUGUCAAAUUGAUCAAGUUUUAAGCUGAUUUUAAGUCUGAAACUUUCAAGGGUUUGUUAAAACACUAUUGUGCACAUAAUGUGUGAAAUUCAAAGCAUUUUGACUGUGAAAAUUUGUUAAUUGUGAAAAAGAAGGUGUAGAAAUCAGAAUUUGCAGCUGAAUUGGUAUGAACUCUUCCUCCUGAGCUCUGAGACCACUUGUAGGAUCGUUUCAGACCCGAACGAGUCGAUCAGAAGAGUUUUUGCUCAAUACGAAAGGCAAAAACAGUCGCAUCAAGUUCAAUUCAGCUAGAUAUACACUUUAAACUGUCUUUUUAUUGAUUUGACAACGUUUUACAGCGAGACGACACUUCGGCAGCAGUUCGGUACUCAAGACGAAAAACUUACAAAUGAAACGAAAUCAAGGGUAUAUAUAGGCUGGGUAAUUUCGCACGGAAUUCCCCAAGCGAAAUCAAGUUUCAUGCGAAAUUAGAUUUCGUGCGGAAUUACCUCGUGAUUAAUUUCGUGCGAAAUUAACUCCUAACCUAUAUUUGACAUUUUUCUCGUACUACGUGCCCUGAUCUAUCUAAACAAAUACAGGACUCGAUACAAGACGAAGUCUACAGACGGAUGCACCAACAACAAGAACACUUGUUUUUGAAAGAUCCUUGUAUGUAAAGUGUAGAUCUAAAAGACUACACAUUUUUAGCAAAAAUCAAGUUUAUCAUAAGGUUUUAC